This 383-nucleotide ribosomal RNA is filed under the name uncultured bacterium. RNAcentral describes it as "bacterial SSU rRNA". It matches the Rfam family "Bacterial small subunit ribosomal RNA", at positions 30 to 416 of the family's 1533-position model. The record is from RNAcentral.
AUUGAACGCUGGCGGCAUGCCUUACACAUGCAAGUCGAACGGUAGAGUAGCAAUACUUGAGAGUGGCGAACGGGUGAGUAAUAUAUCGGAACGUGCCCAGUCGUGGGGGAUAACGUAGAGAAAUUUACGCUAAUACCGCAUACGAUCUAAGGAUGAAAGCGGGGGAUUCGCAAGAACCUCGCGCGAUUGGAGCGGCUGAUAUCAGAUUAGGUUGUUGGUGAGGUAAAAGCUCACCAAGCCGACGAUCUGUAGCUGGUUUGAGAGAACGACCAGCCACACUGGGACUGAGACACGGCCCAGACUCCUACGGGAGGCAGCAGUGGGGAAUUUUGGACAAUGGGCGAAAGCCUGAUCCAGCAAAUGCCGCGUGCAGGAAGAAGGCC